AAAGAUUAAGCCAUGCAUGUCUAAGUAUAAGCAAUCUAUACAGUGAAACUGCGAAUGGCUCAUUAAAUCAGUUAUCGUUUAUUUGAUAGUACCUUACUACUUGGAUAACCGUGGUAAUUCUAGAGCUAAUACAUGCUAAAAACCUCGACUUCGGAAGGGGUGUAUUUAUUAGAUAAAAAACCAAUGCCCUUCGGGGCUCCUUGGUGAUUCAUGAUAACUUAACGAAUCGCAUGGCCUUGUGCCGGCGAUGGUUCAUUCAAAUUUCUGCCCUAUCAACUUUCGAUGGUAGGAUAGUGGCCUACCAUGGUUU
Molecule: ribosomal RNA, 310 nt
Filed under: uncultured fungus
Lineage: Eukaryota; Fungi
Description: SSU rRNA
Rfam family: Eukaryotic small subunit ribosomal RNA
Source: RNAcentral